This 25562-nucleotide long non-coding RNA is filed under the name Lactuca sativa (garden lettuce). RNAcentral's name for it is "long non-coding RNA (LSAT_LNC009548)". Lineage: Eukaryota; Viridiplantae; Streptophyta; Magnoliopsida; Asterales; Asteraceae. The record is from RNAcentral.
AUAGUAUCGAUGGAGCGAGUGUGGUUUACCGGCAUAUCGAUUGAGUGAUAAACUUUAAGGGUACCAAGUGAUUUGCAUGGUUACUUCACACCUCGUUUUUUGAUCCUCGGUAUCCCAGUCACAAAACUUGGAGGGCACACUCGAGAUUGAAACAUGCCUUUGAAAAGUUCAUUGAAUCUCAAAGAAUCUAGGAAUUUCUAAGAACCAUUCAAAAACCUAAUACUAAAAUAUUGCGGUUUUCGUGGUGGAAAUUGGUGAAUCGUCAUUCACCUACCUUUCAAAUAUGAUAUAGCUUAGAUUACGGCAUACCUCUUCUAAGUUAUAAUAUAUUGUGAUUGGAUCCUAGCCUUAAUAUUACAUUUGGGUGUUUUAUUAAGGAAUCUCUUAAUAUCGAAACUAAUCUUGUUCUCUUUUUUCAGAUGUCUUCAAACAAUGCUGCUUCUGACUUUAAUCCUAAUGGCUCCUUUACUCGUAUGAACUUAUGUGGGAAAGUCACCUUUGAUGGAUCCAACUUCAAUGAGUGGAUCAGAAACAUCAGGAUGAUUACCCGCUACGAGGACAAAGAAUAUGUCCUUGAUAAGGAGCUUAAGGAGAUUGAUGAGUCAACUGCAACUCCUCAGGAGAUCGCUGAAUUUCGGGCACAUGAAAGGGAUGCUACGAAAGUGGCUUGCAUCAUGAUGGCCACGAUGACAGCGGAACUCCAAAAGUCUUAUGAGGAUUUCUACCCUUAUGAAAUGCACCAAGAUUUGAUGGAAAGAUACCAUCAAAGUGCAAGACAAGAGAGGUAUGAAAUCAUCUGCUCCAUGAUAACAACCAUGAUGAAGGACGGGGAAUCNCAUGCAGAAAAUGCAAAGGUAUGUGGAUCGGUUGUUGAAGCUUAAUGUGAACUUCUCUGAGGAGCUUGCAAUAGAUAUCAUUUGCACUCCUUACCAUCGUGCUAUGAUCAAUUCAGCAUGACAUAUCACAUGAAUAAGGAAGAGGUCACACUCAGCAAACUUCAAGGACUCCUCAAGACCGCAGAAACAGGUCUUAAAGGCAACUCGGUUGUUAAAACUCCUAAUCCAAACUCCGCCCCAGUUUUGGCAAUCGGGCAAGGUCGAGGGAAGAAGAGGAAGAGCUCUUCGAAGGGUACCAAGGCUAGGACCCUUGAUCAAUCGUCUUCAAAUGGAACCAAGAAAGGUUUCGUCACUCCUUCUUCUUACCCAAAAGAGGCUGAAUGCUUCUAUUACCAUGAAAAAUCACAUUGAAAAAUCACAUUGGAAGCAGAACUGCCCGACCCAGCAUGGUCCAUUUGGGUUGCAUGGCACCAUGCAUUUUGGAUAGACUAAAUGAGAGAAAUAACACUUGUGGUUCAUUAAUAUAUUAUAAGUUCUAAUAUAUUAAUAUUAUUAUUUAAUUAGUAUUGAUCAAGAAUUAAUUUGGAAUUAAUUAAGUGAUCAAAAGAUAACUAAUUAAAUAUAUGGGUUGAUUAUGUAAAUCAUCCAUAACUUGUAUAGUGGGCUAAGAGGCUCUAUGAAUUAUCAAGUUGGGUUAAACCCAUAGGAUGCUCCAUGGGAGUUACAAACCCAUGGGUCAUGCAACUGAAGAGUCAUGACACAUUAGGGUUUACAUGGUGUAACCCUAGAUGUGUCAACACUAUAUAAAUAACAUACUAUCCACCAAAAUCCGCUACACUAAGAAACAAGAGGGAUAGGCCGAUUUUAGAGUGUGUGCACUCUCUCUAAAGUCAUUCCAAAAGCAUUUGGUGUUGUGUGAAGCAUUUGAGGCAUCACAAUUGGGGUGCUAGGCUCACAAGGUUUCAACGAAUCAAAAUCAACUACAAGGUAUGUAUUUCUAGCUAUUCUUUUAGGAUUAAAGUUCCCAUGUAUGCUAGAUAGGAUUGUGAACCUUGGAAACCAACUUUUGCAUGUAUUUAGACAAACAUAGGUCUAAGGUUUAUUAGGGUUGCAUGUACACUUAGGAAGUGUUAGAAUGCUCAAAUCCCAUCAGUUUUCAGCAUGAGACUACGAGGGUGAAGUCUGAUUCUAGUGGGGGAGAAUUGUAACAUCCUGAAAUUCAGCUAAAGCUAUUUAACCCUUCCUUUUUGUCAAGUUGUUAAGAUUGGUCCCUCGAGUGAGUUCUUGUAGCAAAUGAGUACGUUGGGCGUACUGGGGAGUACUCUGCGCAUACUCAUGCGCUUAAUUUGGACGCGGACUCACCUGGGUACGUUGGGCGUACCCAGGGUUACGCUGGGUGUAACGGGUCCAGAUGCAAACCCUAAUAUUUGGCUUGUGCAUUAUAUAAGGGAUGCUAAGGCUCAUUUCUUAGCCUCCANAUAUCAGAGAUGAAACCCUAAAAGAGCCUUACUUCGUCCCUAAGUGUGUGUGAGAAUGUUUCGAGCUAAAAAGUGCCUUGGUGUGUUAGUGAAGAAGAAGGAGAGAAGCUUGUGGAGGCUAGGGCUUGAGGUGCAGGCUUGGAUCUGAGAUCUUCAGUGAAAGAAGCUUCAACUAGAGGUAUAAAGUUCAAAAUUUUCCCCUUUAUUUUGAUUUAGUGUUGCAUGGACCAUUUCUAGAGUUAAAAGUCCCAAAGGUGGAGACUUUAGGAGUGUAAUGGACUCUAUGGACCUAGGUCUGUCCCAUUUCAUUGAUAUUUGUGUUAUAGAUCCAUAAAAAUCCCAACUUGGUCGUUGUUAUGGGGUCAUGCUUGAGUUAUGAGCUUUGUAGGGUUGGAAAUGGGAUAUUAUGAGUGUUAGUGACUUGUCCAAGCAUGCAAAGGCUUAAAAUCACCAACUUUAUGGAUUAAGAGGCUUAAAAAUGGUCAGAUCUAGAAGUUGGACGUGUGUCUUAACUGUUUAAGACCUCAAGAGCUUAAGAGUCUAAAAUUAGGAGUUAGGCGUGGUGUAAUCCCAGUACGCGCGGCGUAAGGGUUCGCGCACCCCGUUUCUGUGAGGAUGCCGGGUACGCUCAGCGUACAUGUUUGGUACGCGCAGCGUAACCCAGAGAGUUGACUUUUGUUGACUUUUAGGGUUUGGUAAACUUUAGGGUCUUUGAGCCAUGAGAGGGGUAAAAUGGUCUUUUACCCUUCUGAGAGUACUAAGAGAGGGAAUAGUCUAGCCUUGAGAGAUGUAUUGAUUGAGAGUAUUUAUUUCAUAUGAUUAGGCAGAGGCUAGGCCAGAUUUUUACAGAGUUCGAGAUUACCGAGUUACCCGAGGUAAGUCUUCUCACUAUACUUUACCUAGACUGGUAAUUAGAGUUAUGUGACAAAGUAAUUGUAUGUUUUGCAUGAUGAGAUUUCUAUGUGAUUUAUUCUUUGUAUGUUACAGAGUUUACAGAGUUAGGACCGGAAGGUCCACAGAGUUAGGGUCAGAGGGCCCACGGAGUUUUGGGAUUGGAGGGUCCCACUGAGACACAUUGACCAGAGGGUCAAACAGAGUUAUAGCCUCGAGUGGCUAAUAUGUGUAGUGUGUGGUAUUUUGGGGAACUCACUAAGCAUUUAUGCUUACAGUGUUGUGUUAUGUGUUUCAGGUACCAGUGAGGAUCGCAGGAAGGCGCCGACAUCAUCUUGGGAUGUGUUGUUUUGGAUUGUUAUGUGAUACAAUGACAUUUUUAUAACAAUUAUGAAUGAAAGUUUGUUUUUAAAAUGUGAAAAAAUUAAUUGAAAAUUUGGGUGUUACACAUUGUUGCUUGUAAUACAUGUUUCAAAAUAAAUGACAUUAUGAUGAUAUAAUAAGUUUUGAAAUUGACGCCUUUGCGUCCUUUCCCCAAAAGCUGUUGUUUACAUGUAUUUCUGAAUCCCUGAGAAAUACAAGUAGUUUUGAAAAAGUGUCAACAAUGAAGUUGGUGAGUUCAUAAGCGUUUUUGUAUAAGAAUUGUAUGCCUUUGUGUAUAAAGUAACUGAGUUUGUUCCUAGAAAAUCCAAUAUUUUCCAUAAAUGAAUAGUAGUUUAAAAGUUCCAAAAACCGGAAUUCAUAAGUAUUUUCCAUAUCUAAAAUAGUGUAAGUAGAUUUAUAUAUGUAUAUAUAACCACUAAGGCAUUUGAUAUCCUUGUAAAUCAAAUGUUUUAAUACUUCAUGUGAGUUUUAUAACCAUACUAUUGACCCAGACUGCUUGUAACAACGUUCUUCAGGCGUUGGAAUGAUAUGAUGUUUGUCACCCCAGACCUGCCGGUCCAACUGUAGCUAACAAUUUAGGUGCGGGAUUGUCAAUCCCGUAUAGAUCUAAACACAAGUAUCACGCUCUCCCUACCGUAGAUUAUGGUUUAUAACACAUGACUUGAAAUGCGUACUUGAAAGUACGUGAAGCUAAAUGUCUCACAAAAGCUAGUAUCAAAUAGAUUUACGUAUGAAAAGUCCAUUUUUCUUGUAAAUGUAAGUAUUUCCUUUUUAUAGCGUUUAUAGAGUGUAAGAUAUCAUGAAUAUCUCAUAAACUAUACCUAUUAUAGUUUUUCAAAAGUGUGUUUCAUUUGAAUGAUAAACCUUGGUAUAUUACCAACUUUGCAUGUAAAGUAUAACAUUUGUAAUAACAUUAUUUUACUUACUUAACAUUUAUACACAAAAUGUAGAUAAAGCAUUAGAAACUGUAUGUAACCAUUUGAAUUUUAACAUAAGUUUUUCUUGCGUGUCACUUGUAUUUUUCCCCUUAAAAUAUAGUAAAAACGUGAAAAUAUAGGGGUAUGAACUCACCUGGUAAGUAGGAUGAUUUGAAGAAAACGAGACUUUUCUCGGGCAGCAUUUCGACCGGAAAGUGGAAAAUUUCUCGGGAGUUUCGGACCUUCGGACCUUCGUUAGAGCUUGGAUACGUAACCGGGGCGUCGGGAUAGUUUUGGGAGGCUCGAGAGUGAGAAAAUAUAGGGUUGGAACUGCCCUCGUACGUUGGGCGUACGUCAUGGAUGACGCCAUCAUCGGAUAUUGGACUUCGGAUGGGACGGGCUAGAGGUAGUAGGGAUAUGUGGUCGAUCCGAGGCCGCACACUGAGUACGCUGGGCGUACCCUUGUACGCCAUAGCGUACUCCCCUCGGUUUGUGUGCCCCAAUCUUCUAAAAUGCGUAACUUUCGCAUACGAGCUCCGUUUUUGACGUUCCUUAUAUCCACACGUAGGUGAGAAUAUAAUCUACAACUUUCACUUAGACUUUGUUGGCAAAUUUUGAAUUUAUUUUUAAUUAUAUAUUUUUAAUAGGCCGGGAUAGGAAAAGACCGUCAAAAAAUUCAUAACUUCUUCAUCCGAUGUCCGUUUUCGUCUGUCUUUUUACCGUUGUAUUACUAUUGUCGAGAUCUUCAAUUCUCGUUUAGGUUGUGUCGGCUAAAUAUCGCUGGAUCUUUAUUUCGAGUUUUUAGUAGUCUACUGCUAUUCCGAAACUUAGAAAAAUCAUAACUUCCUCAUAUGAAGUCAGAUUUGGAUGUUCUUUUUAUGUACAUUUAUGGUUUAACCUAAUCUAAGACUUUCGUUUAGAUUCCUAAGGCUAAAAAGAUUUUUAUUGAAAUUUCACUUUUCAUACUUAACAGUGUUUUACCGGUUUUGACGCGGUUCUUUGAUUGGUCAUAACUUCUUCGUUAUAACUCGAAUUUGAGUGUUCUUUAUAUUUCUGAGAACCUUGACAAAAUAUCUAUCAUUUUACGUAUCCCAGUUGAGACUUUUGAACAUUUCAUUUCUGACACUAUUUUUAUUUAUUUAUUUAUUCAAAAAUAGAUUGCAAUACUUGACUUGGGUCAUUGACUUGAAAUAUCGGGUUGUCACAAUUUUGAAGAACAAGAGGUUGGUAAGGGUUAAUGUGAGUAGUAAAAGAAUGACCGGAAGUACUUACAUGAAUUCUUGAUUCGUUACCAGCUAAAACAAAGGGAGAAAUAAAACUUUUAUCAUUAAUAGAAUUGAGAAUACCAGCAUUGGAAUGAAGAUAAGUGUGGUGUCGGUGUCCAUGUACCAUCCGUUGCUUGUGGUAUCAAUUAAUGAAAUAUAAUUAAACAUCUCUGGUAUUGGGUGGCCUGGUCAGUGGAGGAAGGUUGUUAUUGAAACCAUUCCCAAGGAGGAAGAACCUUGGAAUCAACAUGGAAGACUUGUUGGGUUGAUCCGGGUGAAGAGUAUUGACCUGGUUGUUGAACAAACCCAAAAAGAUGUUGGACAGAUUGUUGGCUUGGUGAUUGACGGGCUGAUUGUUGUUGUAUGGGCCUAGGAGUCCAACUGGUGGGCUACUACGAGAAUGAGCUGGAGAUGGGUCCAACAUUGAUUGGGCUUGGAAGCAGUCCAGGUGCUGAGUUUGAAGACUUAGAAGACGAGUUCAGAGGGUACCAUCCAUACCCCCAUCCAGCCGGAAUCUGCAUGGAAGGAUUGUUUCUGCCACCACCUCGACUGUUAUGACCACGUCCUCUGCCACCAAAACGACCGCCAUAGUUGAAACCACCUCGAUAGUUGUGAGAUGAAUUGCUGGAAUGCUCAAAAAUAAGCGCCACAGAAAACAAUGAGUUAUCGUUAUGUGGAUUUUGAUGACUUUGAAGCAAAUUCAUUCUUUGUUCUUCCACCAUGAGCUUUGAUCGUGUUUCCAAGAGAGUUGGAAGCAAGGAUGUGUGUCGAAUGAGAAGAGUAACGUGAUCAAAAUAAGAACUAAGACCGUUAAUGGUAUAUGUGACAAGAUUCUUUUCUGGAACAGCAGCAUCAAUAUUAUCGAGAAGAUCAGCAAUGGUUUUGAUCCUUGUACAGUAAUUCAUGAGACUCAGAGCGGUUCCCAUAGAGAUGUUAAGCUCAUUAUCUAACUGGAUGGCUCUAGAAUAUUUGUUGUCACGAAACAGGGCUUCAAGACUUUGCCACAUUUGCCAAGUUGUCACCUUCUUCUUGAGAAUCAUCGGAAUAAGUUAUUAGGAAAUCAUUUCGUCCAAUCACAUCUUCACAAAGGAAUCGAUAUAAUCCCAUUUAGUUUUGUCUGAACCAGUAGACACGUUUUCAUCAGGUUCAUCUAAGUGAUCGGAGACACUGUAACGACCCAAUUUUCACGUCCAAAAAUUCCAUUUUUGAUUACGUGACUUGCAAAACAUUUGUAACAAAAUAUCAACCGAUCAUAUCAUUUCAUAAAAACAUGUCUCGUGUCUGAAAACCAAAUCGUAAAAACAUAAUAAUGUCAGAGUACACAUCCCAGAAUAACUCAUAGUGUGGAAAGCAAUGUGUGUGUAUGAUGUGUCGCUACCGCGCCAGCUCCUUCCCCUUCGCUGAAAAGGUACCUGAAACCAAAACUGUAACUAUAAGCACGAAGCUUAGCGAGUUCCCCCAUCGUACCACAUACCAUACAAUCAUAUAGCGUACAUACUGUCGGGAAAUUCUGGGUUGCCCGACCAACCCGGUACGGCCAUCCUGGGGUGCUGACCUACCCGUACGGCCAUUCUGGGGUGUCGACCUACCCGUGUCAAGCCAUUCUGGGGUGCUAUGUCAAGCCAUUCUGGGGUGCUGACCUACCUGUGUCAAACCAUUCUGGGGUGCUGACCUACCCGUCGGUCCUAACAACUGACCCUCGGGGACUAUUCCACCCCUACUGCUACUAUCACAUAUAUCAUAACAUAAACAUACUAUCAGACAUAUCUGGAGUGUCUGAACUACCCUUCGGUCCUAACAACCGAACUUGGGGACUAUUCCCCUCCUACUACCGCUAUCACAUAUAACAUAUCAUGCCAGCAUAUAAACAUAUAAUCAUGUACUGUCAGACAUAUCUGGGGUGCUUGACCUACCCUUGGGCCCUAACAACCGAACUCUACUACUAUCAUAUAUAACAUAUCAUGCCAGCAUUAAACAUAUCAGGUAGAAGCAAUCCUAGAUGAUAUCACAAAGACAAUCAUCUAACAUACAACUCAACUGGUGGGCCGACAUUGUGGCCGUAGACCCACCGCUACUGGAAGGUAACUCACCUCGUAGUAGCUGCUGAUCUGUGCGAGAAUCCUCUGACUGAUGCCACUGCUGCUCCGGAAAUCCUCCGGCUAUAAUUCCCACAAUACACUUAGUCAUACAUUGCUAACUGUUCUUAGGGUAAAAUGACCAUUUUACCCCUGAGCAAGUCAAAGUCAAUGUCAACUUCCAGUUGACCUGACUUGCCGAGUUGGUUCGCCAACUCGUCGAGUCCCUAUCCUUCCAUUUGUCCUUAUACCCGUCUCUACUCGUCAAGUUAGGCGAUGACUCGACGAGUUUUCUUUCUAAUUGAACAUUGACUGAAUCUUCAUCCGACUCGCCAAGUUGUAUGAACAACUCGUCUAGUUCAUGUUCAACUGAUACACAUGUCCUAUCCUUGACUCGCCGAGUUGUAUGAACAACUCGUCGAGUUCAUCUUCAUCCUUAAGAAGAUUGCCUUGGACUCGUCGAGUCCCUUGAAUUUCCAGUACAAUGGCUUAGUCCAGAACGUUGGGUCGCUCCACAUGACUCCCUAAAACCUUUCCACACUCAACUGGGUCCUUUUGACCCUCAACUGAUAUGGUACAAAACCUUGGACUCCCCGAGUCCAAGAAUGGACUCGUCGAGUCGGCCACAUCCUCUCACUAAAUCUUCGAUUUCUGAUGCACAACCCUUGAUCAAAAGAUAGAUAUGUGCUUCUACAAUCGAUCUAGCGCUUAAAGUUACAACCUUUACGUGCUUGCAUGGGACUAUGAGCUCAAAAGGUCCUAAAACAAGCUUUUACAAUGCAUGGGGCCUUCUUUGAGUGCAAAAGCCACUCCUUUUUGCCUUGUAACCCAUUUAAGGACCUAGAUCUGAAACAUCAACCCCUAACCAUGCUUGCAAUCAUGGUUGGUGACCAAAAUGGCUUAGAAAAGCCCUAAAACUCCACAAAAGGGGAUCUAUCAAAAGAACAAACAAGGUAUAAACUUUAUACCUUCUAUAGACUGCAAUUGAUGCUCAAAAUCGGAUACUUCUAGCCUCCUCUUGAUCCUUCAAGCUUUUCCUUCCUUCCUUGGAUAACAAAAGCACCAAAAUCACUCCAAAUGCCUUAGAUUGCUUCAAUAACGGCUAGGGUUUGCUAUGGGGGUCUUCUGGGAGCAAAUGGGACAAAAGAGGUCGAGUUAAGGUGUUUAAAUAGGGUGCAAACCCUCGGGUUAGGGUUUUUGUCCAGACAGGGCCUACUAGCCGAGUCUGGGACCCAACUCGUCGAGUCCACUGCUUAAACCCCGCGUCUCAUCCCGCUUCUACUCGGCGAGUUGGUCCUUCAACUCGCCGAGUCCAAGGCCAAAAUGCAAAAUAUUUUAAAGAAUAUGCACCAAGAACCAGGUGCUAUAAAUCUUCCCCACUUAUUUUAGAUUUCAUCCUCGAAGUUUUCUGCUCAAUCUUGAAACAGCUCGGGGUAAUGCUCCAUCAUAUCGUCCACCGGCUCCCAAGUCCACUCCGACCCCUUCCGGUGCUGCCAUUGUACCUUCACGAUUUCCACUCUUUUGUUCCUUAAAUCGUUCGUCUUCUGGUCGAGGAUUACCAUCGGUCGCUCAAUGUAGUUUAGGCUGCCAUCAACCCGAAUGUCCUCCAAGGGUACCACUGCUGAAUCGUCCGCCAGGCACUUUUGCAGCUGAGAAACAUGGAAAGUGUUGUGUAUCUGAUUGAGUUCGGCUGGGAAAUCCAGCCUAUACGCCACCUUGCCCACCCGGGCUAUAACCCUGAACGGUCCAAUGUACCUGGGGCCCAACUUGCCCCGUUUCCUGAAUCGGAUAACGUCUUUCCAUGGCGAUACCUUCAGGAGAACCAUAUCCUCGACCUGGAACUCCAGGUCUGAUCGGCGCUUAUCGGCAUAGCUUUUCUGCCGACUCUGAGUAGUCUGAAGCCUGCUUCGGACCUGCUAAAUCUUCUCUGUCAUCUUGAGCACCACCUCAGUGCUGCACAUUACCCUUUGGCCAACCUCGCCCCAAUAUAUCGGGGUCCUGUACUUCCUCCCAUAUAGCAUCUCGAAAGGAGGACGUUUAAUGCUCACAUGAUAACUAUUGUUAUAGGAGAACUCUGCCAAUGGAAAGUAGGUAUCCCAACUACCCCUGAAGUCUAACAAACAUGCUCGCAACAUAUCCUCCAGGGUUUGGAUGGUCCGCUCGCUCUGACCAUCCAUCUGCGGGUGAAAGGUGGUGCUAAAAUGCAGACGAGUACCCAGCUCGUCAUGAAACUUCUUCCAAAACCUGGAAGUGAACCGCACAUCCCUGUCUGAAAUCACCGAAACUGGCACACCGUGCCGCACCACCACCUCCUGGAUAUAGACGUCGGCCAACUUCUCAGCCGAGAUGCUCUCCUAAAUCCGGAUAAAAUGGGCGCUCUUGGUCAAUCGAUCGAUGAUGACCCAGAUCGAAUCCACUCCCCGCGCGGUCCUGGGAAGCUUGGUGAUAAAAUCCAUCGUGAUGCCUUCCUAUUUCCACAGCAAAAUAUCCAACGGCUGCAUCUUGCCGUGAGGUCUCUGAUACUCAGCCUUGACCUUCCUGUAGGUUAAGCACCGCUCCACGAACCAUGCCACAUCCACUUCAUGCAGGGCCACCAAUAGUCCAGACGAAGAUCCCUAUACAUCUUCGUCGCCCUGGGAUGAAUGGAGAACCGAUAUUUGUGCACCUUCUCCAUCAGAACCUGGCGCGCACCCCCGUGGUAUGGAACCCACACCCUACGAUGUAGUGUCAGUAAUCCUCGGCUGUCAUAGUCGAAGGAGGAAACCUGCCCCAUGAUCCGCUCGCUCUUCUNUCCUUCAUGGCCUCCUACUGGGCCUCCCGAAUCCGCUCCAACAGCAGAGUCACCACUGUCAUCCUCAGGCAGAUACCCCUGAUCGGUGCUGCCUUGCGGCUAAGCGCGUCGGCCACCACAUUGGCCUUCCCUGGGUGAUAAAGGAUCUCGCAAUGGUAAUCCUUUACCACGUCCAUCCACCGACGCUUCCUCAUGUUUAGAUUCGGCUGAUCCAUGAGGUACCUCAAAAUCUUAUGGUCCGUGUAGAUGGUACAGCGAACCCCAUAGAGGUAAUGACGCCAAAUCUUGAGGGCGAAUACAACAGCCCCCAGCUCAAAAUCAUGCGUCAGGUAGUUCGCCUCAUGAGGCUUCAGCUGUCUCAACGCGUAGGCGAUGACAUGCCCUCUUUGCAUCAAUACUGCACCUAAACCUGAGAUGGACGCAUCGCAGUACACAACAAAAUCCCCCAUGCCCUCUGGCAGGGCUAAGAUUAACGCCUCGCACAAUCUCUGUCUCAGUGUCUCGAAUGCGGCCUGUUGCUCAGGCCCCCAAUGAAAGACCAUGGCCUUCCUUGUUAGCCUGGUCAGGGGUACGACUAUCUUGGAGAAAUCCUGGAUGAAUCUCCGAUAGUAGCUGGCUAAUCCUAGGAAACUCCAAAUCUCAGAUGGACACUUCGGAACCUCCCAUCUCAUCACGACCUCCACUUUGGCCGGUUCCACUGAAAUCCCAUUUUGGUUGACGAGAUGCCCAAGGAACUACACCUUGCAUACAAGAUCUCCCUCCUCAAAGUCUCUAGAACCUCUCGCAGAUGCUUCUCGUGCUCCUCCUGCGUCUUGGAGUAAAACAAGAUAUCAUCAAUAAACACUAUCAUAGACCGGUCUAACAUCGGUCUACACACGCGGUUCAUGAGGUCCAUGAACGUGGCAGGAGCAUUAGUGAGCCCUAAGGGCAUCACCACAAACUCGUAGUGGCCAUAGCGCGUCCGAAACGCAGUCUUCUGUACAUCCUCCUCUUUGACCCUCAUCUGAUGAUAUUCUGAACGCAGAUCAAUCUUGGAGAACCAAGAUCCUCCAUAUAGCUAGUCAAAGAGAUCAUCAAUCAUCGGGAGUGGGUAACGGUUCUUCACCGUUACCUUAUUCAGCUCCCGAUAAUCUAUACACAUCCGAUGCGACCCGUCCUUCUUCCUCACAAACAGAAUCGGGGCUCCCCAGGGAGAGCUACUCGAUCUAAUGAAUCCCUUGUCUAGUAGCUCAUGCAGCUGUGUAGACAACUCCUGCAUCUCAUGAGGAGCCAACCGAUACGGUGCCUUGGCUAUCGAAGCUACACUAGGGACUAGGUCGAUCCUGAACUCCACCUGCCUCUUCGGAGGUAUCCCAGGCAACUCCUUGGCAAUACAUCCGUAAACUCUCGUACCACGGGCACAUCACCCACUGUCGCCUUACCCGCCUCCUGGGUGUCCAUGACAUAAGCGACAUAUCCUGCACAACCCUGCUGAAGGUAGUGCCUAGCUCUCGCUGCUGAACAUACCGUUGGCCCUCGCUGUGGCCUCUCGCCCUGAACUACCAACUCUCCCCCACUUGGGGUCUUGAUCCGAACCAGCUGUUGUGCGCAAUCUAUCACUGCCCUAUUGGGGCUCAACCAAUCCAUGCCUAUAAUCACCUUGUUCCCUCUAAACGGGAUAGGAACCAGGUCUACCAGAUAACGCUCCUCGAAUAAUCUCAGCACACACUCUCAGAAUACCGUCGAUGCUCGCACCGAUCGGUCAUCUGCAAUUUCUACCUCUAAAGGGCAAUCCAACAUGCCCGAAGACUCAGGAAACUUCUUGCUUAGCGCAAGAGAGACAAAUGAUCGGGUAGCCCCCGAAUCAAAUAAUACCUGAACUGGGAUACGUUCACAUGGAACGAUCCUAAACAUAGCACAUACAUAACAUAUCAAAAUUACAGUAGUGUAUCAUAAAAGCAUUAAGAUAAGUAAUCAUACCCGUCACCACAUCGGGUGCAGCGCGUGCCUCCUCGGUAGUCAACUGGAAUGCCCGGCUCCUCACCACUAGAGCCUCUGCCUUGCCCUGCCGGCCAUCAGUGAUCUGAAGGGUUGCUAGAGUUGGCGCCUUCACUGGCGCUGAUGCUGCUGUCAACUAGGGGCAGUUGGCCUUCUUGUUGCACCUCUGGUUGCAGUGGAAACAUAGCAACUCAGACAUCUGAAUAACCGGUGCAGGGGAAGUACAAUCCUUGCUAAAGUGCCCCGUCUUGCCACACUUGUAGCAACCCGACAAUCCCAAUCUGCACGCCCCCUCAUGUGGCCUGCCGCAUUUUCUGCAGCAGCCCUAUCCUGAUUGGCCCUUCGACCUACCAUCUGAUCUAUUGGGUUUCUUCCCCGAAGUCUCCAUCGUCUGCCCCUCCUCGGCUUUCCUCUUCCGGACAUGAUCCAAAUCAAUCUCCCUCUCCCUAGCCUUGGAAAUCAUGGAAUCUAAGGUAGGGCAAGCUGAAAAACUAACAUGCUCCCGAAUGUCGGCCCGUAGCAUGUCGUAGUAGCGGGUCCUCCUCAUACCGCAUACUGGGGCACCAACAAUGCCCUCUCCCGGAACAUGGCGGUGAUCUCCGCUACAGUCUUCGUAGUCUGUCUCCAUGUCCAAAAACUCCCCGGCCAGCUGCUGAAGCUCUACCGCUGGCGCAAACUCUGCUCGGAACCGGGUCAUAAAAUCCGACCAUGUCAUAGCCUCAACAAUCGAGGCUCCCAGAGAGUCACCAACCGACUCCCACCAAUCACUAGCCCGGUCCCUCAAACACCCUGUUGCAAAUCGUACCUUCGACCCCUCGGGGCAGAAGCUGGUCAGCUGUGCAGACUCAAUGUCAGCAAUCCAUCGUCUGGCAGCAAUGGGGUCCUUCUCCCCAUGGAAUUUUGGCGCACCACUGCCCCUGAAGUCCUUAAAGGACAGUGUGCGGGAUCCUGACUGGCCAGACACCAUAUCACUCCUAAACGCCGUGAGGCGAACCUCCAUCAGCUCAACUAUCCCUUCCUUGAUCGACCAGAAGAUGAUGGGGGUCGAUUCAAGGAUGCCUCUGGUGAUCUCUGACGCGAUGAACUCGCGUAGCCUCUCAUCUACUAGCUCGGAACCUGAUCUCGAACGCGAUCCCUCUCCUAAACUACCAACUACUGGCCUCUGUCGUAGUACCACCAUUCUACAAAACAUAAUACCAACCGUUAGGGAUACCGAUACCUCUAGAGGGAUCACAUCCACUACAAGUUCCUUGGUCAUAUCUCAGCCUUCCUUAAUUCGGGUAUGGAUCCUCUGCUUUCAGUAGUACGGGCCCAUACUACCUUCCACAUCUAUCUGUACCUUCCUCAAGGUCUGCCUUGACUCUAUCAAGUCCCUUUCACUAUUGUUGAUUCUCUCCUAUUCUCAUUCUAGGCUUGCCCUAGGGAAAAUCUCUAACCCCACCCAAACCGGUCCUCAGCUUCUGAAGGCCUCCUUGUAAUGCCAAUUAGCCAUUACCUGAAUACCAUCACAUGUGAUGAGGCUCAGAUAAUCCUUCGAGAAACAGACUCAUCCCUACAACAGUUAGACUCAGACAAGAGUUGCGCAAUAGGGCCAAAUCCAGCACUCUGAGAUUAUUCAACUCUGACCACAUGUGACAUGAUGUAUUCACCUAAUGGCUAACUCCCAUCACUCAGAGUCCCGCAAAGCACAAAGCAAGCAACAUUCGGAUGCAGGAAAACUAAUCAAGCAAAUAUGUUCUCAUAGUGAGAAACUGUACUAGCAUACAAUGCUAAGCUCAUACUAUCAUGCAUAACCUAAACAUGCUAUCCUACUACUGUCUACUCAAUACUAGCAUGCAAUUCACAUAAGCUGAAGCACAUAAAGUAAGCACAUAAGGCAUCAUUCCUAGAUCCUUAGUCCUAUUCUAGCAUGUUGUUCUACUGAAACUAAUAGACAUAAGAUAACUUGUAUGGGUACUAUGGGGAAUACUUACUUGAGCUCGGCCGGUUGCGCACAUCACACACUUGUUUUUUCUCAAAAACUCUUUUGUCUUAUUCUUUAGAAAACCAUUGUCUUAUAAAAUCUUUUAAUCCCUCAAUUUGAGUCCAGAUACCUCCCGAAGGUGUGUCUGAAUCCCUCAAAUCAGGGCUUUGAUACCGGAUAACUUGUAUGGGUACUAUGGGGAAUACUUACUUGAGCUCGGCCGGUUGCGCACAUCACACACUUGUUUUUUCUCAAAAACUCUUUUGUCUUAUUCUUUAGAAAACCAUUGUCUUAUAAAAUCUUUUAAUCCCUCAAUUUGAGUCCAGAUACCUCCCGAAGGUGUGUCUGAAUCCCUCAAAUCAGGGCUUUGAUACCGACUUGUAACGACCCAAUUUUCAUGUCCAAAACUUUCAAUUUUGAUUAAGUGAUUUUUUAAAACAUUUGUAAAAAAUAUCAACCAAUCAUAUCAUUUCGUAAAAACAUGUCUCGUGUCUGAAAACCGAAUCGUAAAAACAUAAAAAAGUCAGAGUACACAUCCCAGAAUAACUCAUAGUGCGGAAAACAAUGUGUGUGUAUGAUGUACCGCUACCGCGCCAGCUCCUUCCCCUUCGCUGAAGAGAUACCUGAAACCAAAACUGUAACUGUAAGCACGAAGCUUAGUGAGUUCCCCCAUCGUACCACAUACCAUACAAUCAUAUAGCAUACAUACUGCCGGGAAAUUCUGGGUUGCCCGACCAACCCGGUACGGCCAUCCUGGGGUGCCGACCUACCCGUACGGCCAUUCUGGGGUGUCGACCUACCCGUGUCAAGCCAUUCUGGGGUUCUGACCUACCCAUGUCAAGCCAUUCUGGGGUGCUGACCUACCCGUGUCAAGCCAUUCUGGGGUGCUAACCUACCCGUCGGUCCUAACAACUGACUCUCGGGGACUAUUCCACCCCUACUGCUACUAUCACAUAUAUCAUAACAUAAACAUACUAUCAGACAUAUCUGGAGUGUCCGAACUACCCUUCUGUCCUAACAACCGAACUUGGGGACUAUUCCCCUCCUACUACCGCUAUCACAUAUAACAUAUCAUGCCAGCAUAUAAACAUAUAAUCACAUACUGUCAGACAUAUCUUGGGUGCCUGACCUACCCUUCAGUCCUAACAACCGAACUCUACUACUAUCACAUAUAACAUAUCAUGCCAGCAUAAAACAUAUCAGGUAGUAGCAAUCCUAGAUGAUAUCACAAAGACAAUCAUCUAACAUUGUAACAACGUAAAUUUUCAAACAAAUUUUUCAUUUCAAAUUAAAGUAUUUUCAUUCAAAACAAGGCAUAAACAUUCCAAGUGUCAUGUCAAAAUACAAAUCAUAUGAAUCCCAAGAUCACAAAACAUCUAUCAGUGUGUACAGAUCACGCCGGCGCCUUCCCACGGUCCUCGCUAGUACCUGAAACACAUACAUAACAACUGUAAGCAUAAAUGCUUAGUGAGUUCCCCAAAAUACAACUUACGCACAUACGCCUUUCCAGGCCCUGACCUUCCAGUCCAUGUGUCUCAGGGGACUUCCGUCCCUGCUGGGUAAACCUUCCAGUCCUACCCACGUCAACCUUACGGUCCACAUCGCAACGCCUUUCGGCCCAUAUCAAGCACAUCAUACAUGGCACAUAUAACGAAUAACUUAUCACACAUAACACAUAUAUCUCAUAGUAUAUCCGACCUUCCGGUCACACAGACAAACCCUUCCGGGUACAGUAUAGUGAGAAAACUCACCUUGUGGAAAGUCUAAGAUCUCGUGUCCUCGCUAUCACUGAAUCCAAACGACGGCUCAGCCUCGCCUAAACAUAAAAAUAUCAUUUAUUACACAAAGACUUCCACCACUAAAACUUAACCCUUAUCAUCAUUCCUCAGGGGGAAAAGACCAUUUUACCCUUCCUUGACCUAAAGUCCUUAUGUUGACCAAAACCCUAAACGUCAACAAAAGUCAACCCUGAGAGUACGCUGGGCGUACUGCUAGAUGUACGCGGGGCGUACAUUGCGAACCCCCCUUGGAUCGGGGUCUCCACCCAGUAUGCUGCGCGUACUGGAAGUUACGCCCAGCGUAACCACAAGAAUCAGCCACCCUCCAUAUCUGGUCUUAAUCGGUUAAGCCAUUACUACACCUUCUAGAUCCGACCUUUUUAGUGUGUCUAAACCCAUAAAGUCGAGACCUUUAAGCCUUGGCAUGGCUGUAAAGGCUCCAACAUCACAUAACAACCUUUUAUUCAAACUCAAGGACCUAGAUCUCAUGCAUGGUACCCACGUCCAAGAUGCCAUUUUUAUGAGUCUACAACUCCAAUAGAUCAGAAAUAUGAAGUAUCUAAGCUCAUGGAGGCCGUUUGCACAAAAAGUCUCCACCUUUGGGGCUUAAACCCUAGAAAAUGACAUCUUAAGCAUAUAACAUGAACCAAGUGACAAGAUCCGAAAGUUUUACCUGAAAAUGAAGCUUUAACCCUUGCAAAGCUCAGAUCUACACUUGAGCACCAAUUCUUGCCUCUCCAACAAGCUCUUCUUCUCCUUUGCAACCUUGGAAUGGCACCACCAAGCUUAGAAUACACACAUAAUGGCCAAAGAACGAAGGUACAUUCUUUUUAGGGUUUCACUCUGAGGGAUGGUGGCUGAGAAGUCCAGCCACACAUUCCUUUUAUAGCCCCUCCAAAGGAAAUUAGGGUUUGGAUCUGANUUCAAUAAACCCUAAAUCCAUAUACACAUCAACAUAGAAGGGAUCAACUCGAAAUUAUUACCUGAAUAACGUUGCUCUGUGUCCCCAACCCUCAGAAUAUGGCUUUUUCUUUUGUUCCCUUAACCCAGCCUCCUCCUCCUUGCAAAAUAACACUUCCAAGAUCAAUAAUGGUCUUCUACCUUGCUCCAGAUGCUCACAAUCGAAUUAGGGUUUCACUCACAGGACUAGGGUGAACAAUGACGGCCAUAAGGCCUCUUAUAUGUGUCUCAAACCUGAACGGUUAGGGUUUCGCUAAACAGCGCGGACUCGCCGAGUCCAGUCGCGAACCAGCGACCAGAUCCGCGAUCCUACUCGGCGAGUCUGAGCUCCAACUCGCCGAGUCCCCUCUUAAAGCACCCAAAAUCAUAAAUAUAACAAUACCUGGAAUUCCAGGCUGUUACAAACAUACAACUCCUACUGGUGGGCCAACAUUGUGGCCGUAGACCCACCGCUACUGGAAGGUAACUCACCUCGUAGUAGCUGCUGAUCUGUGCGAGAAUCUUCUGACUGCUGCCGCUGCUGCUCCGAAAAUCCUCCGACUAUAAUUCCCACAAACUCUUAGUCAUACACUGCUAACUGUUCUUAGGGUAAAAUGACCAUUUUACCCCUGACCAAGUCAAAGUCAAAGUCAACUUCCAGUUGACGUGACUCGCAGAGUUGGUUCACCAACUCGCCGAGUCCCUAUCCUUCCAUUUGUCAUUAUACUUGUCUCUACUCGUCAAGUUAGGCGAUGACUCGACGAGUUUUCUAUCUAAUUGAACAUUGGCUGAAUCUUCAUCGGACUCGCCGAGUUGUAUGAAAGCCUCGUCUAGUUCAUCUUCAACUGAUACACAUGUCAUAUCCUUGACUCGCCGAGUUGUAUGAACAACUCGUCGAGUUCAUCUUCAUCCUUAACAAGAUUGCCUUGGACUCGCCGAGUCUGAUCAUGCACUCGCCGAGUCCCAUGAAUUUCAAGUACAAUGGCUUAGUCUAGAACGUUGGGUCACUCCCCGGGACUCCCUAAAACCUUUCCACACUUAACUGGGUCCUUUUGACCCUCAAUUGAUAUGGGACAAAACCUUGGACUCGCCGAGUCCAGGAAUGGACUCGUCGAGUCGGCCACAUCCUCUCGCUAAAUCUUCGAUUUCUGAUGUACAACCCUUGAUCAAAAGAUAGAUCUGUGCUUCUACAAUCGAUCUAGCGCAUAAAGUUACAACCUUUAUGUGGUUACAUUGGACUUUGAGCUCAAAAGGUCCUAAAACAAGCUUUUACAAUGCAUGGGGCCUUCUUUGAGUGCAAAAGCCACUCCUUUUUGCCUUGUAACCCCUUUAAGGACCUAGAUCUGAAACAUCAACCCCUAACCAUGCUUGCAAUCAUGGUUGGUGACCAAAAUGGCUUAGAAAAGCCCUAAAACUCCACAAAAUGUGAUCUAUCAAAAGAACAAACAAGGUAUAGACUUUACACCUUCUGUAGACUGCAAUUGAUGCUCAAAAUCGGAUCCUUCUAGCCUCCUCUUGAUCCUUCAAGCUUUUCCUUCCUUCCUUGGAUCACAAAAGCACCAAAAUCACUCCAAAUGCCUUAGAUUGCUUCAAUAACGGCUAGGGUUUGCUAUGGGUGUCUUUUGUGAGAAAAUGGGACGAAGGAGGCUGAGUUAAGGUGUUUAAAUAGGGUGCAAACCCUCGGGUUAGGGUUUUUGUCCAGACAGGGCCUACUCGUCGAGUCCGGGACCCGACUCGUCGAGUCCACUAGUUAAACCCCGCGUCUCAUCCCGCUUCUACUCGGCAAGUUGGUCCUUCAACUCGCCGAGUCCAAGGCCAAAAUGCAAAAUAUUUUAAAGAAUUAAUAAAAGAAUACGUACCAAGAACCAGGUGCUACAGACACCAAACCCGUUGUAGUGAGUUUCAAACAACUCUUGCCAUGCAUCAUAGUUGAGUUUGUCGAGAUCCAUAAUAAGAGGGAUGAAUGCCUCAAUGUUUGAGACACCAUAAGGUUUCUCAGAGGCAAUAGUGGACGAGUUGUUCAGUGACUACUUCUUAUCGCCAACCAUGGAAAACAGGGGAGAAGAUAAAAGAACGAUGAGAUGAGAGGGAGAAGACUUCCCCAGAAGAAAAAAAUUGACGGCUAGGGUAGAGAGGGUAAGGAAUAGAUCAGGGGCUCUGAUACCAUGUAACAAACUAUUAUGAAUUGAUUUUCAUUGCCUUCUCAUCUCAUUAAAGCAAAUAUAUAGUACAAAUACAAGACAAAAGGACUGAACACAACACAACAUAAAUAUUGGGCCAAGCUUGCUAAAAUAUAAACAUAAUACACUAACAAAACAUUUUAUUAUAAUUUUUUUCUAUCAAUUUUUAUUAAAUUUUUUUUUAUAAACACCAUAAUAACCAAUAGAUUUUUAAAAUAAACCAACAAACAUUUUAUGAAUCUAAACCAGCAAAUACGAUCAUCUACUCUAGUUCACCAUGUGAAUUCAUAUUCACACUGUGAAUCUGCAUAGAUUCACACUGUGAACUUGACGAGUUUUUUAUUAUUUUGAUAUCAUAGGAAAAAUAAUAAAAAGUUAUAAAUUUCUAUAUUUUUAUUUUUUUUUAAUAAUAAAACAAGCUUAAAAUGUUGAAAAAAAAUUGGUUUUUUAGUUAAUCAUGGUUCUUUAUUGAACCUCAUUGUGUGUAUAUAUAUAUAUAUAAUGAGGUUCAAUAGAGAACCAUAAUUAACCAAAGAACCAAUUAUUAACAAGGAAGCAAAAUCGUGAACGUAGAAACUUGAAGCGAUCAACGGCCAAGGAAAUAGAUAUAUAUUUGUAUAUUAGACGCACAUACACCGGAUUAUAUACUAUAAAACCAACUCUUUACAAAAAAAACACACCUCUUUUUUUUGGCUUAANNNNNNNNNNNNNNNNNNNNNNNNNNNNNNNNNNNNNNNNNNNNNNNNNNNNNNNNNNNNNNNNNNNNNNNNNNNNNNNNNNNNNNNNNNNNNNNNNNNNNNNNNNNNNNNNNNNNNNNNNNNNNNNNNNNNNNNNNNNNNNNNNNNNNNNNNNNNNNNNNNNNNNNNNNNNNNNNNNNNNNNNNNNNNNNNNNNNNNNNNNNNNNNNNNNNNNNNNNNNNNNNNNNNNNNAUAUAUAUAUAAUUUGUGAAUCUCUCACAUGAUCUACUAAACAAAACAAUGCAAUAGGGAUGAGCAAAAGGACCGAACCGGCGCGACGGUUCUACUGGUUCCCGGUUCCUACCGAUUCUUGUCGUGUCUUCAAAUGUUGGAACCGCUCCUUGAAAAAUAGCAUCAUAUGAUUCCGUUUUUUGUCGGUUCUACCGGUUUUUGCCAGUUNUCCCGGUUCCAAAAAUCAACAAACAUAACUUUCCGGUCCCGGACCGACCGGUUCCAUUGGGUUCCGGUUCCGGCCGGUUCCCCGGUCCAUAUGCUCAUCCCUACAAUGCAAAAAAUAAAAAAAGUGUGUUUGCGAACACGGAUUUUUUUACUAGUUAAUAUAAAGCCAAAUGUAUUUGUAUAUAAUUUCAAUAAUAAAAAAAAAUAAAAAAACUAAAAAAACUAAAUUACUUAUAUAAGAGUACAUAGAUACAAUAAUAUUAUAUAAAAAUCGAAUAAAAUAAUAUAAAUCAGAAAAAAUAGGACCAAAUUGGUGAUGUAUCUUGCUUAUGACAUUCAUUAAGGGGCGGCUAUGGUUUAGAUAAAGUUUGAAAUCCUUGUCAAAUGUAUGAACUCUAGUUCCUGGUAUUUGCAUGUUAUCUACUAUCCACCUACUUUUCUUUAAAAAUAUAUUGUAAUAUUAGACAUCAACGUCAAAAUUAUUUUUAUUCUUGUGGAUUCUACAAUAUUAUGAUUAAAUAUCUUUUUACGUACCGACCCUGUUGUUUUUUCAUUCAAUGUUUAUGUAAAAAAUAGACAAUAUAUGCGAUUAUGUUUUAGUCUAGAGUCAAAAUACACUAACAUUUUAAAUAUAAGUUACAUGUAAAAUGUUGUAACAUGAUAUAGUUUGUUUAAAACGGGUUAGAGCAAUUGUUACAUUCAUAGCCGAUCCAAACAUAUUUCAAGUGCAAGACAAAAACAAUCAAUUAAAAAUGUCAUAUCGCCAAAAACAAAAUCAUGUUUAACUCAGGAAUGUUAAAAAAGAACCGAAAGCUGACAAAAAAAAAUCUAAAAAGAUCCAAAAAUCCAAAUUAUUUUGAGAAACCGCGUGGUUUUUAGGCAUAAAAAGCCAUAUGUUAUGUUCAACUUGGUUUUUCCUUUUAUGUUUAUAUGUAAAAGGAAAAAGAUAUAUAUAUAUAUAUANNNNNNNNNNNNNNNNNNNNNNNNNNNNNNNNNNNNNNNNNNNNNNNNNNNNNNNNNNNNNNNNNNNNNNNNNNNNNNNNNNNNNNNNNNNNNNNNNNNNNNNNNNNNNNNNNNNNNNNNNNNNNNNNNNNNNNNNNNNNNNNNNNNNNNNNNNNNNNNNNNNNNNNNNNNNNNNNNNNNNNNNNNNNNNNNNNNNNNNNNNNNNNNNNNNNNNNNNNNNNNNNNNNNNNNNNNNNNNNNNNNNNNNNNNNNNNNNNNNNNNNNNNNNNNNNNNNNNNNNNNNNNNNNNNNNNNNNNNNNNNNNNNNNNNNNNNNNNNNNNNNNNNNNNNNNNNNNNNNNNNNNNNNNNNNNNNNNNNNNNNNNNNNNNNNNNNNNNNNNNNNNNNNNNNNNNNNNNNNNNNNNNNNNNNNNNNNNNNNNNNNNNNNNNNNNNNNNNNNNNNNNNNNNNNNNNNNNNNNNNNNNNNNNNNNNNNNNNNNNNNNNNNNNNNNNNNNNNNNNNNNNNNNNNNNNNNNNNNNUUAUUUAAUAUAUUAAUACAAAUGUCUAAAAAUUAACAAAAUAACUCAAAAUUUCGGAUUUAUUUUCAAAAAAAUAAUAAUAAUUUUCAAUUUUUUUAAAAAAUGGAGAUUUUUUUAUUUUUUUUUUUCCAAAAAACAUGAAUUUUCAAAAAAAAAAUAUUUUUUAAAAAACUCAUUUUUUCUAAAAAAAAGUUGUAUUUUUUUUCAAAAAAACUUCAUUUUUUUCCAGAAAAAUUGCAUUUUUUUCAAAAAAAUAAAAAAUAAAAACGAUUUUUAUAGAAAAGUGCAAUUUUUUUCAAAACUGCAUUUUUUAACAAAAAAAUCAACGUUUUAGGUGCAUAUAUGCAUAUUUUUUCAAAUGCAUAUAUGCAUAUUUCUUAUAGUAUAAUUUUCGUAAGAAAAUUAUAAAAAAUCAUAUUUUUAUUAAUCAAUCUAUAAACAUAAUACAAGUAUUUUUAUUCGAUACAAAAUAAAAUAUAAAAAAACUACAAAGAUUCACAGUGUUAUCAUUUCUUCAUAUCAAGAUUUCCAUAUUUUCUUCAAUUUAUCAUUUUUCACAUCUUCAAUAUUUUCCAAAAAUUCUUCAAAAUCUACAAGAAAAAAAAUUGAUUAACGCAAGAACACACAUGUAUAUAUCAUGUAAGAUUCACAUGUGAUUAUAUAAUGUGAUAUUCAUAUGUGAUUGUAUCUUUUAAGAUCUAAAUAUGAAAUUCACAAGAAAAUUUUAAAAAAUAAUUAACGAAGAACACUUACACAAAAUGCAUGUGUGCAUAUAGACGUAAUUCAUAUGUGAUUAACUUGUGAAUCAGAUGUAAUUCAUAGGUAAUUCACUUGUAAUUUACAUGUGAAUCACAUGUAAUUGAUAUGUGAUUCACUUGUGAUUUACAUAUGAAUUACAUGUGAUUUACAUAUGAAUCACAUAUAAUUCAUAUGUGAUUAACUUGUGAAUCAGAUGUAAUUCAUAGGUAAUUCACUUGUAAUUUACAUGUGAAUCACAAAUUAAUCAUAUGUGCAUUACAUGUGAAUCACAUGUAAUUCGUAUGUGAAUUACAUGUUAUUUACAUGUGAAUCACAUGUAAUUCAUAUGUGAUUUACACGUGAAUCACAUGUAACUCAUAUUUACAUGUGAAUCAUAUGUGAAUUACAUGUGAUUAAAAUGUGAAUCAUAUGUGAAUUACAUGUUAUUUACAUGUAAAUCACAUGUAAUUCAUAUGUGAUUCACUCGUGAUUUACAUCACAUAUAAAUUACAAGUGAAUCACAUGUAAUUCAUAUGCGAUUCACUUGUGAUUUACAUGUGAAUCUGUCACACCCCCGAACCGUCACAAAACAAUGGUGGAAACGUCCGGGAGCGGUUGACGUCAUGCGUAGUAUCACAACCGUUGUAUCAUAGCAAGCAAAGUAAACACAACCAUUACAUUACAAUCUGAUUAUUUACAUCUGUUUGAAAACAUAGUUUGUACAUAACAGUAUAUAAUAAAGGUAAAAGACGUGACUCCAAAAUGCCCUGUCUUCUCCAAAAAUUGGCAAGAGUACCUGUCUAUUGUUGCCCUGAGAAUACAAGCAGUUUGAAAGAGUAUCAACAUAAAGCUGGUGAGUUCAUAAGUAUUUAGUUUUGGUGAAAAAUGUUUCUUUGAUCCUUUGAAAAGUGUUUCCCAAGAAAAUCCUAUAUUUUCUUAUAGAAAGUGUGUUUGAACAUCCAUUAGUUACUUGUUGAACAAUCUGCUUAUAAGAAAUCGAGUUAUCCUGGGAAAAUCCCAUAUUUUCCCUGAAAAGUUGAUGAUUGGUUAUCGGUUCUAGUCUGAGGUGUACAGGUAUCUACUAUACUUAUAUCGUUAGACGUAGUUUUCUUGAAAAACCAUGUUUGCUCCCUGUGAGGUGUAUUAGCCUUAGUACAUAAAUAAAACUAAUAAAUAUGUGGUGAACUAAAUCCUAAGGGUAUUAUUAAUACCCUCUAGUAAUCAAAUCGUUUAUUACUUUGAGGUUAGUUUACUUGUUUCAUUAUUACAAAAGUAAAUAUUUGUUAUCUAGGUUGCGAGUUUUAUAACUAUACAUUAACUUGAUAUGGCACGUAACGGGGCCAGUAUCCGUUAUGACUUUGUCACUCCAGGCAUGGUUGUCUAACUGUAGCUAGCAGUUUUGGUGCGGGAUAGUCAGUCUCGUAUAGAUUUAUACACAACAGUCACGUUCUCUGUACAAGAGAUUCUGGUUACAAGUGCUAGUCCUACACUCUCGAAUUCGGUGGGAGUAUUACCAAGGACGUGUCUCCAACAUUUAGACUAACAAAUUUACAAGUAAUAAUACAGAAAAUCAUGUUUACGAUUUGCAUGAAUCUCUUAUAAAAUAAUAUAUUUUACAACGUGAUUCACAAGUUAGUUACCCUAGUUUUGAAAACUGUUUCUACGAGCUGAUUUCUCAAUCGUUUGGUAAAACUGUUUUCCACGUUAAAAGCAUACUGAAAAUAUAAUUAUCUUAGAAAAAGUAAUAUAUUUUGAGCCAAGUUCCCUUGUACUUUUACUUGUUUCCCCCCUGAAAAUAUGAAAACUUGGAAAAAUGUAGGAGUAUGAACUCACUGUUUUUUUGCAUUUUAAAAAUAACAUUUGAAUAUUUACACCUUGUUUUGUGAUCCUCAGCAUCCCAGUCACAAAGCCUGAAGGGCACACUCGAGAUUGAAACAUGCCAUUGAACAGUUCAAUGAAUCUCAAAGAUCUAGGAGUUUUAAAACCAAUUAAAACCUAAUAAUACAUUUCGUUUAUCUUGGUGGAAAUUGGUGAAUCGUCAUUCACCUACCUUCAAAUAUUUUAUAGCUUGGAUUACGGCAUACCUCUUCUAAGUUAUAAAAUAGUUUGUUGGGUCCUAGCCUUAAUAUUUCAUAUUGGGUGUCAUAUUAAGGACUUAAGAUCAACUAUCUUGAAUAUCUCCCAAAAGAUGACUGGUUUAGACAUUUAUGAUCUUCCCAAAUCUCUUGAAACAAGCUUUCCUAAAUGAAGAUGAUGUCCCAUGGAAAUCAUACUUCUUUCACCUCCUCCAAUUAUUCUCCCUAACCCACAAGUUCUUGAAAAGUUUAAGGUCACUCAAUCCCUAUUGGCAAGGAAAGGUCUAGGUGUGAUCACAUCUUGGAGAUGUAGUCAAAUAUUGACAAUCCGGGAGAGUUGGGUGUCAAAGUCUUGUGAAAGUUGGUAGUUCAAUCACUUUCUAAGUCACAUAGUGAGUUCCUUUGGGACACCUAUGAAACAGACUAUGACAAGACCCUUAAUGAUCUUAUCUAUUUGUUAAGCUCAACUUCCUUAAAACUUGAUGGACAUUGACAAUAGUGACACAGGAAAUCCAGAAAAACAUUCUCUUCCCAAUGGAAAGGGAUCGGCCAUAAUCAACUCGGUUGACCAUAUGGUAAAGAGAAAAGCUAAGUCUGUGAUAGUCCCGUGUACCAUUACCAAAGGGUCCAUAUGUUUAUAUUGCCAAAGGAAGGGUC